GAUGAACGCUAGCGGCAGGCUUAACACAUGCAAGUCGAGGGGUAUAGUUCUUCGGAACUAGAGACCGGCGCACGGGUGCGUAACGCGUAUGCAAUCUACCUUUUUACAGAGGGAUAGCCCAGAGAAAUUUGGAUUAAUACCUCAUAGUAUAUAGCCCUGGCAUCAGGAUUAUAUUAAAGUCACAACGGUAAAAGAUGAGC
This 200-nucleotide ribosomal RNA is filed under the name uncultured bacterium. RNAcentral describes it as "partial 16S ribosomal RNA". It matches the Rfam family "Bacterial small subunit ribosomal RNA", at positions 28 to 230 of the family's 1533-position model. The record is from RNAcentral.